RNAcentral lists this ribosomal RNA (788 nucleotides) under bacterium. RNAcentral's name for it is "bacterial SSU rRNA". It matches the Rfam family "Bacterial small subunit ribosomal RNA", at positions 422 to 1201 of the family's 1533-position model. The record is from RNAcentral. RNAcentral also lists the same sequence under 1 other name.
GUUGUAAAGCACUUUAAGCGAGGAGGAGGAGCUCUAGAUUAAUACUCUAGAUGCUUGGACGUUACUCGCAGAAUAAGCACCGGCUAACUCUGUGCCAGCAGCCGCGGUAAUACAGAGGGUGCAAGCGUUAAUCGGAUUUACUGGGCGUAAAGCGUGCGUAGGUGGUCUUUUAAGUCGGAUGUGAAAUCCCUGAGCUUAACUUAGGAAUUGCAUUCGAUACUGGGAGACUAGAGUAUGGGAGAGGAUGGUAGAAUUCCAGGUGUAGCGGUGAAAUGCGUAGAGAUCUGGAGGAAUACCGAUGGCGAAGGCAGCCAUCUGGCCUAAUACUGACACUGAGGUACGAAAGCAUGGGGAGCAAACAGGAUUAGAUACCCUGGUAGUCCAUGCCGUAAACGAUGUCUACUAGCCGUUGGGGUCUUUGAGACUUUAGUGGCGCAGCUAACGCGAUAAGUAGACCGCCUGGGGAGUACGGUCGCAAGACUAAAACUCAAAUGAAUUGACGGGGGCCCGCACAAGCGGUGGAGCAUGUGGUUUAAUUCGAUGCAACGCGAAGAACCUUACCUGGUCUUGACAUAGUAAGAACUUUCCAGAGAUGGAUUGGUGCCUUCGGGAGCUUACAUACAGGUGCUGCAUGGCUGUCGUCAGCUCGUGUCGUGAGAUGUUGGGUUAAGUCCCGCNACGAGCGCNACCCUUUUCCUUAUUUGCCAGCGGGUUAAGCCGGGAACUUUAAGGAUACUGCCAGUGACAAACUGGAGGAAGGCGGGGACGACGUCAAGUCAUCAUGGCCC